Molecule: transfer RNA, 60 nt
Filed under: Polygyra cereolus
Lineage: Eukaryota; Metazoa; Mollusca; Gastropoda; Stylommatophora; Polygyridae
Also listed under: 1 other name
Description: tRNA-Arg
Source: RNAcentral
UUUAAUACAGCUAGUAGUAGCAAUAAGUUUCGACCUUAUAGGUGGUACGCCCUAUUAAAA